CUAAAGGUACUAUUAUGCAAUUUUUGAACAAAGACAAUUGUGCCUGCCUACGCAAGUGUUACAGGUUUUUAAUUGUUAUUAUUGACUUAUGUAGAAACAGAGAGAGUUAUACGUACUGCUAAGGGGAGUAAGGGAAGUGUUAGAACUAAAGAAACAACUGUAAGUCCUGCUAAUGCAACUACUGCUAAGAAAAGUGCUAAAGAAUCAGCUGAUUAUCCUACUGCAAAGAAGAGUGUUCAAAGUGCACAUAGAGUUGAUACAAGAAGGAGUGUCAGAACUAAACAAAUGGAAAGAGUUGGACAAUGUACAGUGAAUAAUGGUAUUGCUAAAGAUGCAGUCCCUCCUACUACUUAUGCUACCAAAAGGAAUGUGAAAUCUAAAGUCAAGUCUGAUUGUUCCCUAAAGCAAUGUUCACAUCCUGAUGAGUCUAAUUGGGUCUUUUGUUGCAGCUGCAACCAGUGGUAUCACUGUUAUUGUUAUAAAAUUUCAUUUCAAAAGGCGAAAUCAAAAAACUUUAAAUUUACAUGUAACAACUGUAAAUAAUAACUAAUUUUAAUAAUAAUCAAUAAUGUUAGGCGUGUCCGUUUAUUGUAGAAGAAGUUAAAUAUUUUUUAUGGUA
RNAcentral lists this long non-coding RNA (619 nucleotides) under Amphimedon queenslandica. Its description in RNAcentral is "uncharacterized LOC109593479, transcript variant X1". The record is from RNAcentral. Lineage: Eukaryota; Metazoa; Porifera; Demospongiae; Haplosclerida; Niphatidae.